CUACGGGUGGCUGCAGUGAGGAAUAUUGGUCAAUGGGCGAAAGCCUGAACCAGCCAUGCCGCGUGAAGGAUGACGGCCCUAUGGGUUGUAAACUUCUUUUAUACGGGAAGAAACACCUCUACGUGUAGAGGUUUGACGGUACCGUACGAAUAAGCAUCGGCUAACUCCGUGCCAGCAGCCGCGGUAAUACGGAGGAUGCAAGCGUUAUCCGGAUUUAUUGGGUUUAAAGGGUACGUAGGCGGAAACUUAAGUCAGUAGUGAAAUCCCGCAGCUUAACUGUGGAACUGUUAUUGAUACUGGGUUUCUUGAAUAUUGUUGAGGUAGGCGGAAUAAGUAAUGUAGCGGUGAAAUGCUUAGAUAUUACUUAGAACACCGAUUGCGAAGGCAGCUUACUAAGCAAUUAUUGACGCUGAGGUACGAAAGCGUGGGGAGCGAACAGGAUUAGAUACCCCGGUAGUC
Molecule: ribosomal RNA, 459 nt
Filed under: uncultured bacterium
Lineage: Bacteria
Description: partial 16S ribosomal RNA
Rfam family: Bacterial small subunit ribosomal RNA
Source: RNAcentral